Molecule: long non-coding RNA, 414 nt
Organism: Lolium rigidum
Lineage: Eukaryota; Viridiplantae; Streptophyta; Magnoliopsida; Poales; Poaceae
Exons: 3
Source: RefSeq, a predicted model, not a curated record
ACCAUAAUCUACAUGACUAGAUAACUCAGUAAUACUCAGAUUCCUAUUGCAGGACCUGAUGACAUGCCAGCACAUAUUAAAUCAUCGAUGUUUGGUUGUGCCUUGACGAUUCCUAUCACCGACGGGCGUCUCAACAUGGGAACUUGGCAGGGUAUAUGGCUUUGUGAACAUCGUGAUGACCCUACUCCUCGCACGAUCGUGAUUACACUCAGCAGGAUCUAAAAUGGCCAAGGCUCUGCAAAUUCAGCGUGGUGAUUUUCAUGUGCAUAUACUGAAAUCGGAGCUUUUGCUUCAAGCUGUGAUGUGAACUUCCAGUGUGUAAUUUUAUCUGUAAUCUUGUAGGCCUGCAAAAUAGAAGUACGAUAAUCUUGUAUGUGUAAUUCUGUACAUGUGGAAUAAAUUUAUCCUUUGGUA